RNAcentral lists this long non-coding RNA (1464 nucleotides) under Sus scrofa (pig). RNAcentral's name for it is "lncRNA (ENSSSCG00040005978.1)". The record is from RNAcentral. Lineage: Eukaryota; Metazoa; Chordata; Mammalia; Artiodactyla; Suidae.
UUCUUAUUCUUUGAGUCUAGGGAAAACAACUACUGUAGUCGUGGAGGGCUGUUUAUAUGCAUGAGCAGCCCUGGGUAUUUUGUGAGGGCUUACUAUUUAUUUUUAGGGUGCUAUGCGUACUUCUAGGGAGAUGGAGGCAAUGGUCAGGGCUAGUAGCCAGUGCCUGGUUGCUGGGCCCUUGACAGUGGCAAGGACCCACAGGAGGUGGUACAGGUUGCUACUAGUUGCAGGGCCCUGUGAAGGGACAGUGAUCAGAUAGGUGUAGUUGGCACCCGGAGCAUUUGGCAGUGGCAGCAGCAGGGUGCAUGAGUUCCCAUGGGAAUGAAAGCAACAAGUGGUGCUCAGUUGCAGUGACCUUUUCUUUGCCGUCCUCUAAGGUGACCAGGGCUGCAGGUGGUGCCUGUUCACAGACCCCUAGUGGUGGCGUGCUAUGUCCACCUCUGGUAUAUGAGAUGACUGCUGUGGUUUGCCCCUGCUGCCUGUACACAGGCAGCACUGCAUUUCAUUUAGCCCCACUGCCCUUAGCACACGCAAGAGGUGCCUGGCCACCCAUAGGCCCCACAAGAAGUCCUGUUGCCCAUAGCCCAUGCAAGUGGUGCCUCGCCACCCAUAGCCUGCACCAGAGGCACCCCACUCUAUGACAGUCUGUGUGUGCAUGCACAGGGAAAGAUGAAGUCUGCCUUCCUCCUCUCACCACUCCCUAGCCCCUCAGGCUGUCUCUAUGCAGCCAACCCUAGUCCUCUUUCUGGAACUGACCUCCAGAGCGAGUCUUAGCACCCAGCCUCUGCCCAAGCAUCUCCCGCCAUAGUGUCUGGGGGCAGUGGUACAGGUAGUAUGAUUUUUUUAGUCUACCAGAGUUAAUGCUGUAUCACUGUAGGUAAAGUAGAGAAAUCUUGCAGUCAUAUAGAUCCCAUUACCAUGCCUUUUUUGUUAUUUUUUAUAUUAUGGUUGUCAUAUCUAUUGUAUCUCCAUAAUUAAAAGCCCACUAGAAAAUACUUUAAGUUUUACUUAAAACAGAUCAUUUUUAAAGAAUUUAAAUGGAGAAACCAUAGUCUUUUAUAUAUUUCUAGAUAUUUCUCAUUUCUAAUGUUUUUUCUUUAUUGUUGAAGAACCAAGCUUCCCUCUAAUAUUAUUUCUCUUUAGUCUGAAUAAUUUUCUUUAGUAUUACUUGUAAAAGAGGACUCAGGAAAAAAUAUUUUUAGUUUGCCUUUAUUUCAAAAUGUCUUGCUUUUGAUCAGGAUUAUGUUGAAUCCAUAGAUUGAUUUGGGGAGUACUGCAUCUUAACAAUAUUAAGUCUUCCAAAGAAUGCAGAGUGUGUUUCCAUUUACUUAGGUCUUCUUUAUUUCUUUCAAAAAUAUUUCAUAAUUUUCAGUCUACAUGUGUUUUCUUUUGUUAAAUUUAUUCCUAAAUAUUUAAUUCCUUUUGAAUUGUAAAUGGAAUUGCUUUCUUAAUUUCAUUUUUGGA